GACGAACGCUGGCGGCGGGCCUAACACAUGCAAGUCGAACGAGUGGCGGACGGGUGAGUAAUUUCUGGGAAACUGGCUGAUGGAGGGGGAUAACUACUGGAAACGGUAGCUAAUACCGCAUACCAUCGGAUGUGCCCAGAUGGGAUUAGCUAGUAGGGGGGGUAAAGGCUCACCUAGGCGCAGAUCCCUAGCUGGUCUGAGAGGAUGACCAGCCACACUGGAACUGAGACACGGUCCAGACUCCUACGGGAGGCAGCAGUGGGGAAUAUUGCACAAUGGGCGCAAGCCUGAUGCAGCCAUGCCGCGUGUAUGAAGAAGGCCUUCGGGUUGUAAAGUACUUUCAGCGGGGAGGCGUUACCCGCAGAAGAAGCACCGGCUAACUCCGUGCCAGCCGCCGCGGUAAUUC
RNAcentral lists this ribosomal RNA (406 nucleotides) under uncultured bacterium. Its description in RNAcentral is "partial 16S ribosomal RNA". It matches the Rfam family "Bacterial small subunit ribosomal RNA", at positions 28 to 526 of the family's 1533-position model. The record is from RNAcentral.